Molecule: non-coding RNA, 258 nt
Organism: Pelobates cultripes (western spadefoot toad)
Lineage: Eukaryota; Metazoa; Chordata; Amphibia; Anura; Pelobatidae
Source: the annotation of a GenBank genome assembly
CUUUAUUAGAUACUUUUAUAUGGAACUACAGUAGCUCAACUCAGGUUUUCUUCCUAUUGGAAAUAUGCUUUACAUAUGAUUUUUAGAGACAAACAAUAGUCAAAUAUUUGAAUAUUGUCACAUCAGGGCUCUAUGUGCUCUAAAUAUAAAGAAAUCAAAUAAAAAAUCCUCACAAAUUGGUACAACACCUCUUUUAAGCAUCAUAGAGUCUCUCCUAAAAAAUCACCCAUUUGCUGGAGGUUAUGUGUGUGGUUAUGG